Molecule: long non-coding RNA, 371 nt
Filed under: Mus caroli (Ryukyu mouse)
Lineage: Eukaryota; Metazoa; Chordata; Mammalia; Rodentia; Muridae
Description: lncRNA (MGP_CAROLIEiJ_G0005534.1)
Source: RNAcentral
CCUUCACUGGAAUGUACCUCUCAUGGAGAAAAUGCAUCAAGUUGCAGGCUGAGCUGAGCUGAGGAAGCCGAACUCUACCCUCUGAUACCUGGAUGUGUGACCCUUGAACUUAGGCAACAUAGACAGGUCAAGAGGGCGGGCGAUGCUUUUCUGCCUGCUAUGGCAACAGUAUGGCAAACAAUAGGCCCUCAGUAAAGGGAGCGGGGCGGGGGCCGACAGGAUAGCUUACUGGGUAAAGGUGCUUAUCGCAGGACAACCUGAGUUUGAUCCUUAUGGAGAAGAGAACCAAGCCCCACACAUUGUCCUCUGACCUCCACACGUGUGCCGUGACAUGUGCGUCUCACAACUAAGUAAAUAAAUGAAGAGAUGAA